This 502-nucleotide ribosomal RNA is filed under the name uncultured bacterium. RNAcentral describes it as "bacterial SSU rRNA". It matches the Rfam family "Bacterial small subunit ribosomal RNA", at positions 30 to 524 of the family's 1533-position model. The record is from RNAcentral.
AUUGAACGCUGGCGGAAUGCUUUACACAUGCAAGUCGAGCGGCAGCGCGGGGGCAACCCUGGCGGCGAGCGGCGAACGGGUGAGUAAUAUAUCGGAACGUACCCCGUCGUGGGGGAUAACACAGCGAAAGCUGUGCUAAUACCGCAUACGACCUGAGGGUGAAAGCGGGGGAUCGCAAGACCUCGCGCGAUGGGAGCGGCCGAUAUCGGAUUAGCUUGUUGGUGAGGUAAAGGCUCACCAAGGCGACGAUCCGUAGCUGGUCUGAGAGGACGACCAGCCACACUGGAACUGAGUCACGGCCCAGACUCCUACGGGAGGCAGCAGUGGGGAAUUUUGGACAAUGGACGCAAGUCUGAUCCAGCAAUGCCGCGUGCAGGACGAAGGCCUUCGGGUUGUAAACUGCUUUUGUACAGAACGAAAAGGCUCUGGUUAAUACCUGGGGCUCAUGACGGUACUGUAAGAAUAAGCACCGGCUAACUAACGUGCCAGCAGCCGCGGUAAU